GGCCAAAGGAAGUCACAAAGAUCAGCUUAAAAAUAACCCCCCUCUCCCUGUCAGUCAGGAGGAGGAGCGUGUGGAGGAGCCAAGUGCCAGUGAUGGUGGUGGCGGCUCAGAAAGGCCCGGAGGCAAGUCUGGGAGGCCCACCGGGGCGCCCAGCCCCGUCCUUAUCAGCACCAGCAAGGCACCGCCCAGAGCCCAUCUUCUCCCCGGCUUCCGCCCCAGCUGCAUCUGUUUCCUCCACUUGAACAGCCAGGUUAGUGAACUCAGAAGAGCAUUUCUGCCCAGCGGAGGGAGAGCACGGCCUCCCACCGAACGCACAGGGCGGGGUGCCCCUGCACCAGUGAAGCCCACGCUUCCUGACCGGCCCCCGAAGCCAUCAUCUGUCCCGAGAGGCAGGCACCGGGGAGGCCUGCCCAUGCCGGGCGUGAUGAUGCCUCCCGGCACCCACACGGUGCCCGCAGCACCCCGAUACCCACCCAAGUCAUGACAACCAAAGAUGUCUCCAGAUGUUACCGAAUGUUCCCUGGGAGGGGGGCAAAAUCAGCCCCAGCUGAGCACUACAGCUACAAGUGAAAAGUCUGAAGUUCAGAGAGGGUAAGCAACUUUCCCAAGUCACAAGGCUGGCAGGCAGCAGAGAGAGAAUCUGACCCAAGGUUUGCCUGGCACCAAGUAUUGUGUCCCUACAUCGUAUUCCCUCCUAGUUCUAAACAAGGACGGUGUGGCCUCGACACCAAAAUCUGUUUGCUCAGGAGAAACAGCAUCAAUAUUCUCUGAUUCUUCGCCUCCAGGACUCUACAGCUUCUGGAAUUACAAUCUCUGGCUGCUACUUAUCUGAACAGAAUCUACAUCUUGGGAUUUUGAAGCCAAAUCACCUGAGACCUAGGCCACUCUGCCAGGCGUAGGAAUUUAAGCUCUCCUUUGCACUCCCGUGUCCCCCGAGUGAGCCGUGAGGCUUGGUUUGGGCAUGCACCCCAUUAGUUCUUCUGGGACCAUGGCAAGGCUGAGGUCCUGGGAAAUGAUGGCGGUGAUUUCGGUUUCUUGUCUUCAGCCACUUUCUAGAAAAAAUGCUGAGGCCAGAAUCGUAACUCAAACUUCUGCGUGACUUUCAUCUCCUUUGGAUUCCGCAUUCAUUGAUUAAAAUCUUCCCCGACAGAAAAUGGACAGAAUUUGCAAACUACACCACUUCCUGUUGCACAGAAAGAUGGGCCGUUGAUGGGAGACUGCCAGGCACGCAGACACAAAAGCCGCACACACGGAGACUAAUUGAUAGCAGAAUUGAAACGACUCCAAGCCCACAUUUCUUUCAUCAUCCUCUGCUCUCUGCUUCCCUCCUGUAGCCUCUUCUCUUCUUUGCUGGACCCUGCUGUGCACAGUUGCUUCUUGUACCUUAGAAAGCAGGAACCACGUUCCACGUGGCCUUCUUCGUGCACAGGCGAACACGAAGGGCAGCGUCACUUCUUCAGGAAACGAAGUCAGUCAUCACAGAAAGCAGGGUCGCUGCCAGAGCCCGCUGGCUUUCCUGGACAAGGGAGACGAGAGCUGAUGGCAGCGGCCACCUGGACCAUGACAUCCCAAAGCCUCGGCAGCCGUGGGAACUGCAUGGUCAGUUCCUGCCCUCUCACUGUCCCCCCCCACGGCCUCCCAGAGGGUCCCUCCAGACCAGAGUCCUCACAGAAGAAUUUCCAUCAUGAGAUCAUAAAAUCCACAAUGUCCCAAACCAGUUGGUAGGAAGGUGGUGGCAAAAGUGGGAGAGGAAAGUUCAGUCUCCAGUGCGAGAAUCUGACAGAGUCGGGCCUCCUCAUCAGCAGAAGCGGAGCGGAAAGCUGGCGGUAAAGACGUGGAGACUGACUCGGGUGUUGUUAACUAAGAGACCGGCUUGGGCCCAAAGCCCAGCCCAGUGUUUUUCGAAUCAGGGGCACCGGCCCAUCAGUGAAUGGUGAAGUCAGUUUAGCAGGUCGUGAGAGGAGGGUGCUUGCAGUUCAAUGGAGUGGGAUGGAAUGGAUGUAUCAGACAGCACUGCACGCAGUAAGACUGAUCUUGUUUCCGUUAUGUCUGUGUGAUGAGAGUGAUCUAGGGUGAAUUCCUCUGCUUUACGCUCUCCUUAAAGUGUAAGGGACAUGCAAUAAACACCACACACUGAAAGGCACAGUCUGAUCGAUUUUGGCACAUGCGUACACCCAUGAAACCAUCACCGCAGUCAAGAUGACGUGUUUGCUGCUCCCCAGAGUCUCCACGCGCCCCUCCGCACACCGACCCUCCAACGGCUGAUCUGCUCUCCGCCACUCUGGAUUAGUGUGUGCUUUCUAGAGAGGUCUAUGAAUGGGGUCACACAGUAACUGUGCCCUUUUUUAUCUGGCUUUUUUCAGUGGGCAUAAUUACUCUGAGACUCGUCCACAUUGCUCUUGCAUCACCGGUUCCGUUCUCAUUGCCGAGUAGGAUUCCACUGUGAGGGUUUUUCACAGUUUGCUUAAGCGUUCACCUGUGGAUGGACAUCCGGGUCGCUCCCGGUUUGGGACUCUCACACAGAAAGGUGCCGUCAACGUUCACGCAUGUGCUUCCUGGGUAGAAACCCGGCUGUGGAACGACCGAAUCACAUGGUGGCUCAUAGGUAAGCUUCUUCGGAGACUGCCAACCACACCGUGCAGUGGUGGUGCCACUCGCUGCCCCGCCGGCAGUGAAUGAGAGUCCCAGGCCCCCACACGGGUCCUGCGUGUCAGCCACCCCGGCGGCCUGCAGCGGCAGCUCAGUGUUUUAAUCUGCAUACAUCCAUAACGACCGAAAUGUGCAUGGUCUGGGUCUCAUAUUCCAGCCAACAAUCCGUCUCCAUCAAUGUGCGUGUGUGGUGCGAAGGAAGGGUUGAGGCUCAUUCCAUUACACGUGGCUCUCCGAUUGUUCCAUUGCCACUUGCUGAAAAGACCGCCCUUUCCCCAUUCCAUCGCCCUGCUAUCUUUCUUGAAAAUCCACCGCUGACAGACGCGCGGGUCGAUUUCUGCACUCUGUAUCCUGCGUCAGCGACCUGUUUGUCUGUACGCCCACACGACACCGUCCUGACUGCAGGGGCUUGGCGGUCAGUUUAGAAAUCAAGUAAUGUUGUUAGUGCCUCCACUUGGUUCUUUUCAAAGUUGUUUGGCCUAUUCUAGGCUUUUUUUUAACUUCCAUAUGUAUUUUAAAAUCAGCUUUUCAAUUUCUUCAGGAAAGCCUCUGGGAAUUUGCCAGGACUUUUGUUGAACUGAUAGAUCAGUGUGGGAAGGAAUUUCUACUUCAGCAACACAGAAACUUACGACCUGUGAACCCAACAUGUCUGUCCGUCUCAUCAGGCCUUCUUUGAUUUUUUCCAGCAAUGGUUUGUCGUUUUAAGUGUUCAGAUUUCACAUACAUUUUGUUAAGUUUAUAAUGAAGUGUUUUUUUUUGUUGCUAUGGCUACUGCAAGCAGCAUUGGUUUUGAGUUCCAUUUUCUAAUCAUUCAUUACAGAAUAAAAAAUGUAAUUAAUUUUUGCAUAUUGAACUUACGUAAGAUUUUCUACAUAAACGAUCAUAUCACCUGCCAAUAAAGACCAUCUUACUUCCUUUUCAAUCA
Phyllostomus hastatus (greater spear-nosed bat) is the source of this 3574-nucleotide long non-coding RNA. RefSeq lists it as uncharacterized. Lineage: Eukaryota; Metazoa; Chordata; Mammalia; Chiroptera; Phyllostomidae. The record is from RefSeq and is a predicted model, not a curated record. The transcript has 3 exons.